This is a long non-coding RNA of Tachysurus vachellii, 817 nucleotides long. RefSeq lists it as uncharacterized. The transcript has 3 exons. The record is from RefSeq and is a predicted model, not a curated record. Lineage: Eukaryota; Metazoa; Chordata; Actinopteri; Siluriformes; Bagridae.
ACGUGAGAGAAUUUACUCUCUGGAGUCCACAGUAAUCUGUGUGUGUUAUUCAGAUCCUGAUCCAAAAAGGUACUACGGGGCAUCUCUUUCCUGCAGAACAGGAAAUUCAAAGAAAAUUCUGAUCGACACGUCUUGCCUUAAAACAUGGCACGAGCUUGUAUCCCAUGCCGCCAUGUCAUCUUAUCCAAAAGGUCCUGGUGAUGGUAUUAAAUUUCCUUCAUCAGUGAAAUGUCAGGCAUACAUCAGAGACUUGAAUGCUUACAAAGAAAGAGGUCCAUGCUCCAAGUGUCACCAGCUGUUUAAUCUAAAGUCCACAGACACACAUCCAGGGAGUCAUCCCUAUGGGAACUGUGCUGAGACUGAAUGCUUGAGAAAGCUACUUUUUGAAAAUCCAGGCAUAUAAGAGGAAACAGAGAUGGAAAAUCACACAGAGGAAAACUUAAAGGAUCUCAGACGUUUAACAACAGCACGCUUGAAAAAGGAGCUUGAGAAGACUUUCGUCAUCAACAUUAAAAAGACUGAGGAGAACAUUCCCUUCUACAGCCCAAUGCAACGACCUCUGGAUGACACACACGGACUUAACGUGACUACUCUUUUACUCACACGCUUCAGAGAGAUAACACCGGAACAGAAAGUGCUGAUGGACAGAACAUUUUUCGCUUAGGAGGCAUGAAGUGGUCGAAGUUUUGCCUAUCAUUGGUGAAUUUAAGAACAGAUGUCCAGCCCUCUUUAAUGAGCGAGAGGAUGUCCCCAUUGAAAAAAGACGUGAAUGCAUCCUAAAAGCCCUCGUUGUUUAUGUGAAUGCGAAAGACCCCUC